Molecule: ribosomal RNA, 490 nt
Filed under: uncultured bacterium
Lineage: Bacteria
Description: partial 16S ribosomal RNA
Rfam family: Bacterial small subunit ribosomal RNA
Source: RNAcentral
AUUGAACGCUGGCGGCAUGCUUUACACAUGCAAGUCGGACGGCAGCACAGAGACGCUUGCUUCUUGGGUGGCGAGUGGCGAACGGGUGAGUAACAUAUCGGAACGUACCGAGCAGUGGGGGAUAACUAAUCGAAAGAUUAGCUAAUACCGCAUAUCUUCUGAGGAAGAAAGCAGGGGACCAUUUGGCCUUGCGCUGUUUGAGCGGCCGAUAUCUGAUUAGCUAGUUGGUGGGGUAUAGGCCUACCAAGGCGACGAUCAGUAGCGGGUCUGAGAGGAUGAUCCGCCACACUGGGACUGAGACACGGCCCAGACUCCUACGGGAGGCAGCAGUGGGGAAUUUUGGACAAUGGGCGCAAGCCUGAUCCAGCCAUGCCGCGUGUCUGAAGAAGGCCUUCGGGUUGUAAAGGACUUUUGUCAGGGAAGAAAAGGGCGGGGUUAAUACCCCUGUCUGAUGACGGUACCUGAAGAAUAAGCACCGGCUAACUACGUG